RNAcentral lists this ribosomal RNA (445 nucleotides) under uncultured bacterium. RNAcentral describes it as "bacterial SSU rRNA". It matches the Rfam family "Bacterial small subunit ribosomal RNA", at positions 330 to 792 of the family's 1533-position model. The record is from RNAcentral.
UCCAGACUCCUACGGGAGGCAGCAGUGGGGGAUAUUGCACAAUGGGGGAAACCCCGAUGCAGCGACGCCGCGUGAGUGAAGAAGUAUUUCGGUAUGUAAAGCUCUAUCAGCAGGGAAGAAGAUGACGGUACCUGACUAAGAAGCCCUGGCUAACUACGUGCCAGCAGCCGCGGGAAUACGUAGGGGGCAAGCGUUAUCCGGAUUUACUGGGUGUAAAGGGAGCGUAGACGGCGAUGCAAGCCAGAUGUGAAAGCCCGGGGCCCAACCGCGGGACUGCAUUGGGAACUGGCGCGCUGGAGUGCCGGAGGGGUAGGCGGAAUUCCUAGUGUAGCGGUGAAAUGCGUAGAUAUUAGGAGGAACACCAGUGGCGAAGGCGGCCUACUGGACGGUGACUGACGCUGAGGCUCGAAAGCGUGGGGAGCAAACAGGAUUAGAUACCCUAGUA